RNAcentral lists this long non-coding RNA (1722 nucleotides) under Anas platyrhynchos platyrhynchos (common mallard). RNAcentral's name for it is "lncRNA (ENSAPLG00000030901.1)". The record is from RNAcentral. Lineage: Eukaryota; Metazoa; Chordata; Aves; Anseriformes; Anatidae.
AUGCUGCUGGAUGGAAACGCGCCGUCGUCAAAAGCUGAAGUCCCAGCAAAAGCAGCAAGACGUCUCAGCUGCGCCGACGGAGAAUUUCACAGGUGGAUCCGGUGCUUCUCCCAGGUGCUCACUGAAGUUCCUCCUAGCGUAACUCAGUCAGCACAGGUUGACACCAGCUUUGGAGCUACCGAGCGAGCAGGGGAGCAUUCCUGUGACCAGCCUGUUUCUUUUUCCUCUCCCUUUGCCGUUGAAUUUCUCUGAAAUCUGGGCAGCAAGGCAGGGGCGAGCCGGGGCUCAGAUGCAUUCCUACACGCCGCUGCCCCCCAACAGCCACCUCGUUUCUUGUUUCCAGCUCCUUCCCCAAAGGCUUGUGUAAACCCUCUGACAGCAGGGCGGGCCGUGGCAGUAAAUGUCACGGGAAAUGGAUGGGGGUCAGGCAGAGCGCUGCUUUGGAGCCUGCUGAUUUGGUUUAGGCUGACCAAAAGCUCAGCCAGCCCCGUCCUUUAUCCCGGGGAGGGGAGGGCCGCCGAGCCCAGCAGCAAGAACUUGUUAAAAGUCUCCAGAUCCUGUCAAAAUGCCUCCGUUUUAUGGCUUUCGGUUGAAGGUUGAAGUUUUUGAUGAGGUGCAUGAGCAGUGACCUCAUAAAUUGCUCUAUAAAGUGUAAACAUGAUUUCUAAAAAUUCUUUUUGAAACACAACUUUAAUAAUAAGCCAAACUUGUUAGAACUGCCUUAAAUAUUUAUGUGCAUGGCAUGCUCUCUGCACAGCUUGUAAUUAUAGAAUAUUAUUUCUCUUUUUGUACAUUUUUAGGCUGUACUGCCACUAGCAUUUGACACUUUAAUUUAAGCAUAGUUAAAAAAAAAAAAAAAAAAAAAAAAAAAAAGGAUAAUUUCUUUUUUCCACCUUAGUAUAAAGAUAAACCAGCGAAAUCAUUCCUGCAUUUGCUGGUACAAUUUCAAUUUUUAGCUAUGUUGAUAAUUUACUUUUGAUGCUAAUUAAUUACAAGUAAUCAUAAAAACAAAUUAAAAGCACUAUACUUGCAGCAGGUUUUUUUAUGCUUAUGAAAUAAUGCAUCUUUAUGCAUCUGUUUACUUGCUAUGUAAAAAAAUGUAAUCUAUAUUCAUAGGAAAACAACUUUAGCACUCAACGGUGGUGCUGUGAGCCAUUACCACUAACACGUUUUUAGCUAUCUUUGCUUUUUCUAGAAAGAGGGCAGUCCGGUGCAAAACCCCGAAGUCCACCAGUUGGGAAAUUUGAGGAUAAAAGCCUGUGAUUUAGGGAUAAGACAGAGAGAGAGGCUUGAGCAUGUGGAUUUCAAAGGAAGGGCAUUUUAUUUGUAGAUAAAUAUCCAUCAGAAAUGGAUGUCAUCCGUGUCCCCAUGGCACGCGGCUCCCGGUCUUCUCAUGCAUUUUUCCACAUGCGUUAAGCAGUUUGUGGGAGAAGACAGAGACUUGCAGAUAACCCGCGAGUUUUGGGUCGAGCCAGCGGUGCAGCUGGUCAUGAUGACCCUCUGGGAUCUCGUGGGGAGGAAGGAUCGGAGCCAGCUCCGAAAACUUCCUCCCACCCUUGCCAAGUCUCAGAGCUGAGUCACCAACAACUCAUUAUCAAGACUCUGUGUAUUGACCUAACUCCUGGAAGAGGGCCUUGAAUUCCUUGGCAACUUCCAAUACUAAGAAACAGAAGCUUUUCUGGGAUUAGAUGCGAAAAUGAAUAAAACAAUGCUGUGCAGUCA